Molecule: ribosomal RNA, 484 nt
Filed under: uncultured bacterium
Lineage: Bacteria
Description: partial 16S ribosomal RNA
Rfam family: Bacterial small subunit ribosomal RNA
Source: RNAcentral
AUUGAACGCUGGCGGCAGGCCUAACACAUGCAAGUCGAGCGGAUGAAGGGAGCUUGCUCCUGGAUUCAGCGGCGGACGGGUGAGUAAUGCCUAGGAAUCUGCCUGGUAGUGGGGGAUAACGUCCGGAAACGGGCGCUAAUACCGCAUACGUCCUGAGGGAGAAAGUGGGGGAUCUUCGGACCUCACGCUAUCAGAUGAGCCUAGGUCGGAUUAGCUAGUUGGUGGGGUAAAGGCCUACCAAGGCGACGAUCCGUAACUGGUCUGAGAGGAUGAUCAGUCACACUGGAACUGGGACACGGUCCAGACUCCUACGGGAGGCAGCAGUGGGGAAUAUUGGACAAUGGGCGAAAGCCUGAUCCAGCCAUGCCGCGUGUGUGAAGAAGGUCUUCGGAUUGUAAAGCACUUUAAGUUGGGAGGAAGGGCAGUAAGUUAAUACCUUGCUGUUUUGGCGUUACCAACAGAAUAAGCACCGGCUAACUUCGUG